Molecule: ribosomal RNA, 468 nt
Filed under: uncultured bacterium
Lineage: Bacteria
Description: partial 16S ribosomal RNA
Rfam family: Bacterial small subunit ribosomal RNA
Source: RNAcentral
GACGAACGCUGGCGGCGUGCUUAACACAUGCAAGUCGAACGGAAAGGCCCUGCUUUUGUGGGGUGCUCGAGUGGCGAACGGGUGAGUAACACGUGAGUAACCUGCCCUUGACUUUGGGAUAACUUCAGGAAACUGGGGCUAAUACCGGAUAGGAGCUCCUGCUGCAUGGUGGGGGUUGGAAAGUUUCGGCGGUUGGGGAUGGACUCGCGGCUUAUCAGCUUGUUGGUGGGGUAGUGGCUUACCAAGGCUUUGACGGGUAGCCGGCCUGAGAGGGUGACCAGCCACAUUGGGACUGAGAUACGGCCCAGACCCCUACGGGAGGCAGCAGUGGGGAAUAUUGCACAAUGGGCGGAAGCCUGAUGCAGCAACGCCGCGUGCGGGAUGACGGCCUUCGGGUUGUAAACCGCUUUCGCCUGUGACGAAGCGUGAGUGACGGUAAUGGGUAAAGAAGCACCGGCUAACUACGUG